Molecule: ribosomal RNA, 423 nt
Filed under: Aoraki denticulata
Lineage: Eukaryota; Metazoa; Arthropoda; Arachnida; Opiliones; Pettalidae
Description: partial 16S ribosomal RNA
Rfam family: Bacterial large subunit ribosomal RNA (bases 284-423)
Source: RNAcentral
UAAAUUGUUCAUUAAUUGUGGACUGGAAUGAAUGGAAAAAUGGUUUAAAUCUGUCUUUAAAACUAUAAAUUGAAUUUAGAUUCUUUGUAAAAAUACAAAAAUGCAAUUUAGGGACAAGAAGACCCUAUAAAGCUUUAUUUAUUUACAUUAUAUUUAUAUAAAUGUGAUAAUUUUAUUGGGGCAAUGAUUUAUAAAUAAAAAAUAUAAAUUUAAUAAAAAUAAUAAUCUAUGAAUAGUUUGGUAUUGAUCCAUUAUUAAUGAAAAAUGAUUAAGUUACUUUAGGGAUAACAGGAUAAUUUUUAUUAGAAAGUUCUUAUUGAUAAUAAAGUUUAUUACCUCGAUGUUGAAUUAAUUUAAUUUAAUGGUGAAGUAACUUUUUAAGUUUGACUGUUCGUCAAUUAAAUAAUUACAUGAUCUGAGUUC